RNAcentral lists this ribosomal RNA (254 nucleotides) under uncultured bacterium. RNAcentral's name for it is "partial 16S ribosomal RNA". It matches the Rfam family "Bacterial small subunit ribosomal RNA", at positions 1246 to 1500 of the family's 1533-position model. The record is from RNAcentral.
AAAGCGAAGGAGCGAUCUGGAGCGAAACUCAAAAAAGCAGUCUCAGUUCGGAUUGAAGGCUGAAAUUCGCCUUCAUGAAGCCGGAAUUGCUAGUAAUGGCAGGUCAGCAUACUGCCGUGAAUACGUUCCCGGGCCUUGUACACACCGCCCGUCACACCAUGAGAGUUGGGAAUACCCGAAGCCUGUGAGCUAACUUAACGAGGCAGCAGUCGAAGGUAGAAUCAAUGAUUGGGGUGAAGUCGUAACAAGGUAAC